RNAcentral lists this long non-coding RNA (641 nucleotides) under Citrus maxima (pomelo). Its description in RNAcentral is "long non-coding RNA (CMAX_LNC002807)". The record is from RNAcentral. Lineage: Eukaryota; Viridiplantae; Streptophyta; Magnoliopsida; Sapindales; Rutaceae.
GGCAUUUUAUUUCAUCACUUCAAAAUAUUUCUCCCAAAUACCCAAAUACCCAAAUUCCUUCACUCGCUCAUUUCUCUCCAGAAUAGCCAAGAUUAAUUGUUGCCCACUUCCUAACCAUCGCAACCUUGGGAUUAUUGUGCCGUCUCAGCAACCACCGGGUUGAAUCCCAUUUUUAAUGCUCCAAUCCAUCCUCAGUUCACUACCUAGGUCAGAUUACUGGAAGGAAUUUGAAAUUUCUUAUUUAUGAGCCAAAUCAUUCUUGCUCUCUAUCUCUCUCUGUAUUUUCAUUUUAUUACUUAUAAAUCUCAUUAAUUUGACUGGGCAGGUUUUAUGGUUUUGUAACCUAGCAUUGGAUGACUCUAAACAUGGCUACUUCUCUUAGAGAUUUUUGGUGUGCUUGAUAUCAGUAUUGAGUUCAAUCAUCUGCAAGGUUUGUUUCAGUUCUUAUAGUUUGUUUUAACACUUUUUCGUUGCCAUGUAAUUCUAUGGUGUGGAUUUUAUGAAAUUCAUGUUUAAUUCAGAAAACUCUGUUUCGUUAAGUAUUUAGUUCUAUGACUGGCAAUAAUAGGUAGAAAACCUUAAAAGGGCCAUAACAUCAAUCUUUUUUGUUGUUUUUUAACUUUGUUUUGAUGUAAUAAAAG